This 226-nucleotide ribosomal RNA is filed under the name uncultured bacterium. RNAcentral's name for it is "partial 16S ribosomal RNA". It matches the Rfam family "Bacterial small subunit ribosomal RNA", at positions 355 to 571 of the family's 1533-position model. The record is from RNAcentral.
UAGGGAAUCUUCGGCAAUGGGGGCAACCCUGACCGAGCAACGCCGCGUGAGUGAAGAAGGUUUUCGGAUCGUAAAGCUCUGUUGUAAAGUCAAGAACGGGUGUGAGAGUGGAAAGUUCACACUGUGACGGUAGCUUACCAGAAAGGGACGGCUAACUACGUGCCAGCAGCCGCGGUAAUACGUAGGUCCCGAGCGUUGUCCGGAUUUAUUGGGCGUAAAGCGAGCG